Oncorhynchus keta (chum salmon) is the source of this 297-nucleotide long non-coding RNA. RefSeq lists it as uncharacterized. The record is from RefSeq and is a predicted model, not a curated record. Lineage: Eukaryota; Metazoa; Chordata; Actinopteri; Salmoniformes; Salmonidae. The transcript has 3 exons.
CUUUACUCAGGGCGAAGAGCUCAGCACCAGUGAGUCUCCCCAGCAGUGUUACUGUCCUGAAUGGAGAGAGAGAUAAGGGACAGUAAGGUGGUCAGAAGUGUUACUGUCCUGAAUGUAGAGAGAGACAUGGGACAGUAAGGUGGUCAGAAGUGUUACUGUCCUGAAUGGAGAGAGAGAUAUGGGACAGUAAGGUGGUCAGAAGUGUUACUGUCCUGAAUGGAGAGAGAGAUAAGGGACAGUAAGGGGGUCAGAAGUGUUACUGUCCUGAAUGGAGAGAGAGAUAAGGGACAGUAAGGU